RNAcentral lists this long non-coding RNA (1078 nucleotides) under Fukomys damarensis (Damara mole-rat). Its description in RNAcentral is "lncRNA (ENSFDAG00000022533.1)". Lineage: Eukaryota; Metazoa; Chordata; Mammalia; Rodentia; Bathyergidae. The record is from RNAcentral.
AACUCGGCCCGGCCCGGGUCCCGCUUCCGGAGGUCGCCGCAGUUGGCGGGGGCUGCCCCGGCGCGCCCCUGAGAGAACGCCCUUCGGCUCCACUGCAGGAGCGGGCUCGCUGGCUUUCUCUGGAGUUUGGACGUUCGGUGCUUUCCUCGAGGUUUUCCUCCUGGGGAGGAGCUGGAAUCUGGUUAGGAGUGAUCAGAAGAUGGGAUCCGCUCUGCACCGCACCGUGGAAAUUGGGAAUGGUUUAUAAUGGGCUGCUGGUAGGAGCAGGGCUGUCCUGAGGAGAGGUCCUGAGAGCUGACCCUAAAGAACAGAAGGUUACCACUGAUGACAACCCUUCUUUGGGAUGUGAGUUGGGGAAGCUGGCUAGAUCAAAGGAAUUGUGAGUCCAUUCUUUUCUCUUUUUGAGGUCUGGGGUUGAGAGUGAUAGAAUAGAACAUCUCCACUUGUUCAUUCCAUAGGUGUUUGCCAAGCUCUCCUGGAUUGCAGGAGCCCUUGCAGAGAGUGGGAAAGAGGCAUUCUGAGUGUGUUAUGUCUUGAUUUUGCAAGGGCAUCUCAGAAAGUCACUAAUGGCAUCUGUGGGAAGCCGAUGGUGGCCCCUAAAGACAUCUGGUCCUAAUUUCUGAAACCCAUGGAUGUUAGGUUACACAGUGAAGACUUUGCAAAGGUGAUUAAGAUUGAGGUGGAGAGAUUAUCCUGGAUUAUCCCAGGGGGUCCUGAAGGUCAUUCUAUGUUCCCAGAAAUGCAGGGAGGCUGAAGGAGGUUUUGUGGCACACACAGAAGAGAAGGUGGAAAGAUGGAGCACAGAAAGGUUGGAAGAUGCUGAAGGCGAAGAGACCUUACACAUGGGAACAGUGCAGCCACAAGCCACAGAGCACUGAGGUCACCAAAGCUGAAGAAGCAAGGAGCACUUUCUCCACAGAUCUGCUGAGACAGGAGUGGCCUUGAUUCAAGCCCAGUGAAGCAGAUGUGGAACUUCUCACCUCCUGAACUAUCAGAGAAUAAAUUUGUGUUGCUUGAGCAAAGUUGUGGUCACUUAUUACAGUAGCCCCAGGCCAUACUUGAGAGUAAAAUGGAAGCC